GAUGAACGCUGGCGGCGUGCCUAAUACAUGCAAGUCGAGCGAACGGACGAGAAGCUUGCUUUUCUGAUGUUAGCGGCGGAGGGGAGAGAAACACGUGGAUAACCUACUUAUAAGAGUGGGAUAACUUCGGGAAACCGGAGCAAACAGCGGAUAAGAUUUUGAACCGCAUGGGGCAAAAGUGAAAGACGGUCGUGCGGGCACGUAUAGAUGGAUCCGCGCUGCAUUAGCUAGUUGGUAAGGUAACGGCUUACCAAGGCAACGAUGCAUAGCCGACCUGAGAGGGUGAUCGGCCACACUGGAACUUGGACACGGUCCAGACUCCUGCGGGAGGCAGCAGUAGCGAAUCUUCCGCAAUGGGCGAAAGCCUUACGGAGCGACGCCGCGUGAGUGAUGACGGUCUUCCGAUCGUGAAGCUCUGUUAUUAGUGAAGAACAUAUGUGUAAUUAACUGUGCACAUCUUGACGGUACCUGGUCAGAAAGCCCCGGCUAACUACGUG
RNAcentral lists this ribosomal RNA (497 nucleotides) under uncultured bacterium. Its description in RNAcentral is "partial 16S ribosomal RNA". It matches the Rfam family "Bacterial small subunit ribosomal RNA", at positions 28 to 507 of the family's 1533-position model. The record is from RNAcentral.